This 210-nucleotide long non-coding RNA is filed under the name Rhinopithecus roxellana (golden snub-nosed monkey). Its description in RNAcentral is "lncRNA (ENSRROG00000046003.1)". Lineage: Eukaryota; Metazoa; Chordata; Mammalia; Primates; Cercopithecidae. The record is from RNAcentral.
AUGCCGAAGGAUCAGAGAGAAGAAAAGGGAAUGGAGUUUUCUGGGACAGUGUUGGAGACAGGCACAGAUGUCAGCACAGUUAAAGAGGACCUGUGGCAGAUUCCAGAAAAGGUCUCCCUACAAGAAGCUGCUGUCCUCCCUAUAACUUGUGGCACUGCAAUUUUUGCUCUUGAGCAUCGGGCCCAUUCCCAGCCUGGGUUUCGGAAGUAG